AUCAUAUUAGAAAUGGCUUUGCAGGUGAGAUCUACUCUAAGCCAAAACUGAAUGCUCCUAAGUCCUAUCAUUUCCAAGCAUUUAAAUAUAAAUUAAAAAAAAAUGCUGUAAAUAUUUAAACAGUUGAGUUGUUGAUUAUGAAAUCACAUUCAUAAAAGAAGAAGAAAAUAACUUGCUUUCUUAUUAGGCUGUUAAAGUUGACAGCAGUCAUAUACAUUUCUAUCAUGUAAAACAUUGCUUCAAUAAUCUUAGCAGCAUAAUCAUGUCAAACUGUUAGCCAACCUGGCAUAGGACAGACAAUUGAUACAGAAUUUUCAACUAGACAAAUGAGAAAUAUCUCAAAUUAGUUUUUUGUAAGGCACACUGAUUUCUCAUCUCACGUAAGGUACACUUCAUGUGAUCAACUACAGAUCUAAUAUUGGUGGAUCACCUUCAGAAUACACUUGUAAGGUGAAUGCUAAUACAGCACUAGUAAAGGUGGAAUGAUUAUAACUUAUCUGAUUUGACAGUUAAAUGAGCAUGAAUAUAUCUAUCCACCAGCUAUUGAGUAAUGAAGAGGAUGAGUGUACCAUUGGAUAACCUUUAGCUUUUUAUCAAUCAGGUGAAGCUUGGGACAGGUUCAUUCUUCGUGGCAUCAUCUUUGUCUGAUCUUUUUGAACAUUAGACAACAAUAAAACUGGAUAGGUUUAAGAUAAGAUGCUAGUCAUAAAGCAGGUCCAUUAAAAUUUAGUUAUUUUGCAUCAAUUCAGCGUUGAGAUUUUGAUUGUUUCUGCUUCCUUAUUUGAAUUUUUUUUCUUGAUUUUUACUUACAUCUGUCUCAGCAUUGGAGAAGCUGCUAAAAG
RNAcentral lists this unclassified non-coding RNA (842 nucleotides) under Hevea brasiliensis (rubber tree). The record is from RNAcentral. Lineage: Eukaryota; Viridiplantae; Streptophyta; Magnoliopsida; Malpighiales; Euphorbiaceae.